GAUGAACGCUGGCGGCGUGCCUAAUACAUGCAAGUAGAACGCUGAAGGAAGGAGCUUGCCCUUUCCGGAUGAGUUGCGAACGGGUGAGUAACGCGUAGGUAACCUGUCUGGUAGCGGGGGAUAACUAUUGGAAACGUUAGCUAAUACCGCACAACAGUAGAUGUUGCAUGAUUUCUACGUAAAAGGUGCAACUGCACCACUACCAGAUGGACCUGCGUUGUAUUAGCUAGUUGGUGAGGUAACGGCCCACCAAGGCGACGAUACAUAGCCGACCUGAGAGGGUGAUCGGGCACCCUGGGACUGAAACCCGGCCCAGACUCCUUAGGGAAGCAACAAGAGGGGAUCUUCGGCAAUUGACGGAAGGCUGGCCGAGGAACGGCGGGGGAGGGAAGAAGGUUUUCGGAACGUAAAAGUCUGUUAUAAGAGAAGAACGAGUGUGAGGGUGGAAAGUUCACGCUGUGACGGUAUCUUAACAGAAAGGAACGGCUAACUACGUG
Molecule: ribosomal RNA, 497 nt
Filed under: uncultured bacterium
Lineage: Bacteria
Description: partial 16S ribosomal RNA
Rfam family: Bacterial small subunit ribosomal RNA
Source: RNAcentral